GUUCAGUAUUGCAGGACUUGUUUUCCGCCCAAGGAGAGCAAGGCUGUAUUCCAGAAACCAGCUUUUACUGAAGAUGAUUCGCAAAUUCUUCAACUUCAAUUAAAGACAGCUUAAUGCUAGCAAGCCCAAGGACAAGGAUGCCUUAUGUGUUUUGUUAAUUUAUGUUUAAAAUUCACAAGUUAUAGGUGUCCUUGUUACAAAGGUAAGACCUGACAGACUGCUUUCUAAUGCAGUUCCAUCAGUGGUGAGCUCAUCAUCUACAUUUUAUAAAACAUUUCUAUAGGAUGUUUUUUCUAAAGCAAAGUGACUGAUUGUAAUUGCUUACGUUUACUGGCUAUAUUCCUUCAUUAAGGCAUAAUUAGAUUCUGUCUGUAAGAGAUGUAUGUUCAAGUGUUGCCUAUUUGAGAAUCCACGUUCUUUUUUUUCUUUUUUAUCAGAGCACUUCUUGCAUCCGUAAGACUGUUACCUUUCAGAAAAACUCAAGUUCAAACCAAAUAAAAGGUUCACUGAUCAUUAUGGUAUGUGUCACUGUUACUGGGUAAGUCACCACCUCCGGGUCUACCUGCCUAUGGUAUCUCACUGAGCCAUGAAUGGCGCUGAGACCCUCCCAGGGAUGAGUCAUAGCCCCUGCCUGGGCUGACACCAGCACCUCAUUCACAGCCAAUAAUGAGACAUGCUAAUGAGAAGGCUGGCCGCCCUACAUGCUAGCCAUUAUGCAGUGCUGUGAUUCAUGCUCUGUUCUGUAGGAAACCAUCAUCAGGCCCGGUGCAUUGUGGGUCCAGAGAUUAACUCCAUGAUGAAGUCUUUCUAUAGUAUCAGGGUGAUUAUAUUUGAUCUAUGUCUCUCAUUCUUUGGCCUUGUGGUGAAGGAAAUCAGAGAGGAACUGCUUAUGGUGUGCAUGUGAAUGGAUUCAAUAUUGGCUUCAUGCAAUGUAAAAUACAUGUGGUCCACUUGAUUUAAUAUUGAACAUGUUAUAUUGAAAACCUUGUUUUAGUAUGGGUUUUCACCAGGGGCACAACUUUCACUGGGGAUGGGGGAUCAUGUCCCCUCCACAUUUUGAAAUUGCCCUCCCCCCCACACCCACAGUUGUAUAAUUGCAAUAUGAUACAAAAAGCGGCAACUAUGGGCUUUAGGACCAUGCGGAUGCCUCAGAGCGGUCAGGUAGGCUGUUUGGAGUGUUCAGCUGGCUGGAUUUAGGACCGCUCAGACACCAUAGAGUGCGCUGACAGGCUGUGUGAAGGCAAAGCUUCUGGAAGGCUGGCUGAAGCAGCAAGGGAGAGUUGAGCAUAGUUCAGUGUGUAUGUGUUGCGCUUGUUCACUGAGAUGUAAAAGCAAGCAGAGCAUAAACUGGCUGCUAUUUAGUUGCCUGAUGUAGCUGGAAAAGUAACUGCUGUUUAACUUAACCGAAAAAAAAACAACUAGUGUUUAUUCGCAGUGCUGAACUAGUAUUGUAACUGGCAUGUAACGUUACCUAAUGUUUCAUAACCUCUAGACUGAAGUGAAUGAAUAAGCUUUGCUAGCUAGCAGCUACCACAGCCAGGUCUGCUCUAGCCUCUAGUUAUCUGUGGGAUAGCGAUAUGAGGUGGCUGUUAUUACUAUCUAACAGCUGUUGUUUGUAUGGAAAUGUUUUGUAGCCUUUGUUUGGUCCAGUUUCAGAAGUAAAUUAACUUGGCCAGUUUUCGCCAGUUGAUGUACCGUUACAGAGAGCUGGCCAAAAAUGGGCUAAUGUUAGCUAUUAUUUUUGCCUCAAUCACACUAGACCUGAAUCAAUGAUGAAACCAUCGGCCAAACAAUUGAAUAUUGAUAUUCUGACUAGUUUUCAGUGCAAUGUGGGUUUUAUUAGUCAGUAUGGCAAUGUAAC
Oncorhynchus tshawytscha (Chinook salmon) is the source of this 1861-nucleotide long non-coding RNA. Lineage: Eukaryota; Metazoa; Chordata; Actinopteri; Salmoniformes; Salmonidae. The record is from Ensembl.